UGCCGAAGUUAACACAUUAAGCACUCCGCCUGGGGAGUACGGUCGCAAGACUGAAACUCAAAGGAAUUGACGGGGACCCGCACAAGCAGUGGAGUAUGUGGUUUAAUUCGAAGCAACGCGAAGAACCUUACCAGGUCUUGAUAUCUGAAUGACCGGUGCAGAGAUGUACCUUUUCUUCGGAACAUUCAAGACAGGUGGUGCAUGGUUGUCGUCAGCUCGUGUCGUGAGAUGUUGGGUUAAGUCCCGCAACGAGCGCAACCCUUGAUCUUAGUUGCCAGCACUU
RNAcentral lists this ribosomal RNA (283 nucleotides) under Paenibacillus taichungensis. RNAcentral's name for it is "partial 16S ribosomal RNA". It matches the Rfam family "Bacterial small subunit ribosomal RNA", at positions 844 to 1126 of the family's 1533-position model. The record is from RNAcentral. Lineage: Bacteria; Bacillati; Bacillota; Bacilli; Caryophanales; Paenibacillaceae.